UUUGUUUGUAUGUGGUGCUGAGGAUCGAACUCGGGCCGCACGCAUGCCAGGCGAGCGCGAUACCGCUUGAGCCACAGCCACAUCCCCAGCCCGGACUUAUUUGCUCUUGAUAGCAAUGCAGCAAAUGCCUUGGUGCCUGCUAAAGUUUCCAAGGGACAUGCACCCAUUGAAAACAUCUUUCACUCUUUGGGCAGGUGGAUUCCGUUAAUUUUACAAACAGCUGAAGGUAAUCUGUUUGCAGAAUCAUUGGUUUAAAACCAAAUCCACAUUUCUUUGCAUGUGUUGUUUAUGGCCUUCAGAUUAAUAAUAUGAGAUGUGUGUGUAUGUGAGUGCAUGUAUAUGCAUGUGCUUAGAAUAUAUUUUUUACAUGCACACAACAAAGAUAGAAGCUGUUACUCAAUUUUAUGAAAUGAAAAUAUGAUGAAGAAUGUUUAGAAAAAAAUAUAGAUAGAUAAAUAGAUAGAUAGAUAGAUAGGUAGUCAGGAGGAGGCUCUGACUGUGGUAAAGAGAUUUUGGAUCCCAACAGGUGGGAGAAGAUCUAAAGCACAGUUGGAACAGUGGACUUGCUUUAUUCAGAGGUGGCAGACCCCAGCUCCAGCUUUAGCCCCCAACCUGUUCCAUUUAUCUCCCAGCUUGUUCCAUUUAGCAGCACCCCCCAGUCUUUUCCAGAGGCAGUUUUUAUUUUCUUUUUAGCUUUACUGUUUUUAUUAAUUAAUGAAUUUUUUUUUUUAGUUGUAGUUGGACACAAUACCUUUAUUUAUUUAUUUAUAUGUGGUGCUGAGGAUCGAACCCAGCUCACACAUGCCAGGUGAGCACUCUACCUCUGAGCCACAACCCCAGUCUUCCACAGGCCUUUUUUUUAUAUUCAGACCAGACAACGAAGACACAGUGUCAAUAGGUUAUAUCAGUGGGCACAUGCUCACAAGCAAGUGUUUAUGACCUUAAGGUAGAUAUGUUAAAUCAGAGUGUUUCUGACCUUGACUACAAACUAAAAACAUAGCCCACUGAAAGUUUUGGUGAGGGAGCCUAACUACAGCCAUUUGGGGCCUGCCCUACAGUUGUCAAAUACAAAGUUUAGUAACAGGAAACUCAGACUCGUGAUUUUAUAAUUUUUUAGCUCUAAUGGCAGCCUCUCAGAGAGUCAAGGGAUGUUUGACUCAGACCAGCUUUGUGCCCUUUGUGGCAAAGUGGACCUGUAAGCUUUGAGUUAGAGAAACCAAUGAAGAAGAUAGGACUCAAAGGCUCCAUGAAAUGAUUUGAAUGUUUGUUCUCCAGAUUCAUGGGUUGGAGACUUCCUCUCCAGUGUUACCAGGUUGAGAGGUGAUAGACCUUCAUGAGACAACGAGGUUGCGGUGCACCAUCCUCAUUAAGGAAUUAAUGAAGUUCUUGUGAGAGUGGGGUGAAGGUAUUUGCUCCUAAUGCUGAGCAGAUGCACAUCAUUAAUCACUUGAAAGAGAGCCCAGCAGAAGAGAAGAGAAAGGUGGGUGAGGAAAGUGCCAGGCGAGCCCAUGGGACCUUCAAGAUUUGGCAGACAUGAACUUCAGCGAGCUCGAUGCUGUCAUUUUACCCUGACCCUGGGUGCCCUGGAUGGGAAAGACUGCCUGGUCAGCACUUCUGUGAAGGACCCUUCCUGCUCUGCCCUCUGCUGGAAGGCCCAGUGGCUGCUGCUGUGUUUCCCCUGGGAUGGCAGCCAAAGCCUUCCUGCUUGUGGAUUCUAGUACAUCAGGGUGACAAUCCACGGGGACAAAGAGGAAGCAGAAGGUGGAAAGUUCCCGGCCAGGUUUGCUGCGGAUGACGGCGAUGCUGCAGCACAGAAUCCUAGACGUGACAAGGAUGAUUGGAGAAGAGAGGAUAAGUGAAGCAAUCUCUGAGUGAUUAAACAACAACAAUAACAGCAACAACAACCCCUCAAACUUCACUAUUUCAGGUGAACGUCGUGGUGAGAAGGGACUGCAUGCACACAUGCAUACCUGAACGUGACUGCAGAGCUCUGCUGGAGAGAAAAGUGGUGCAUCUUGUUGAGACUUUUGUCCCUCUUAGGUUCCCUCUAGCUUCACUUUGUGUAGGCAGAUCCUGCUAGCAUUGACAAGGAUGCUAUAAUAGUGCCACAUGUCCUCUGUAGUCCCAGGUGUUGAGAGCCACAGCCAAAGGGGCCCCAGCAAACUUCCAGCUGCCUGCUGAUGAUCCAGCUGCCAGCAAACUUCCAGCUGCCGGCUGAUGAUUGGCUCACAGUGGCCCCAGCA
This is a long non-coding RNA of Ictidomys tridecemlineatus (thirteen-lined ground squirrel), 2243 nucleotides long. RefSeq lists it as uncharacterized. The record is from RefSeq and is a predicted model, not a curated record. NCBI's taxonomy places the organism in Eukaryota, Metazoa, Chordata, Mammalia, Rodentia, Sciuridae.